Molecule: long non-coding RNA, 214 nt
Filed under: Elaeis guineensis (African oil palm)
Lineage: Eukaryota; Viridiplantae; Streptophyta; Magnoliopsida; Arecales; Arecaceae
Description: long non-coding RNA (EGUI_LNC040022)
Source: RNAcentral
UUUGGUCAAAGACUUUCAGAAUUAUCGACCUAUAAGAUACAUAGGAUGUUCGCUCAUCUUAUUAAGAGUGACCGAUCUCUUAUUGAUCACUCAUAACCUCUAUGCAUACUUCUCCACAUCCAGAACAUCCCACAUAAGGAUCAAAAAAUCAAGUUAAAAAGUAAACCGAAACAUGGAUUCAUGUACACAAAGUAUCAUAACAAUCUCAGGUCAA